RNAcentral lists this unclassified non-coding RNA (940 nucleotides) under Leishmania donovani. Its description in RNAcentral is "gene:unknown". Lineage: Eukaryota; Euglenozoa; Kinetoplastea; Trypanosomatida; Trypanosomatidae. The record is from RNAcentral.
GCAUGCGCCGCACGCCGGUCGCGGUCCUUCCAGAGCCGAAGGUGCUACGAGUGCCAGAUGCGCGCCUGUCCGCAAAGAUGCGGCGUAUGCAAGGGCCUCCGCCGUUGCUGCUGCCCGGCGCGGGUCAGUGGCCUGUGCACCUGAGGCACACCACGCCAUCGCACCUAGAAGCGGGGAGGGGAUUACAACAACUCACAGCAGUAAAAACACAUCUCUGGAUCAAGUCAUCAAGCAGCUUCGGUGCAAGGCGAUUUACGGGGUGAGGUACUUCGUGUACAGUGCAGACGGCGCCCUUUACGCCGGCAGACGUACUCCGAGGAAUUACAGGCAUACACCCGCAAGGCCAAGUUGGCGAAGGCCGCCCACGUGAUUACCGCAACGCAGUCUGGGAGAUGGCAACCCCCCCUCAACAUUCUGUUUCCCUUCAGCGCUGGCUGUGGGAUGGGCGGCUUCAAUCUCAGUUAUGGAUUAACGGCUACUCCUUGGAUUCUAGGUCGGUGCUGGGCCAUGUCACGCUACACCCCUCCCUAUGCACGGCAAUCUUAGAGAACCGACGGUGAUCUGCUGUGCAGCUGACGUUAAACAGUACACAGGCCACCGCUCAGGUUGUUUCGUCGAGCCCCCUUGCUCACCCCGAUGCUGGGAGGACCGCAGCCAGCGUGCGGCGCAUGCACACGGACACGCACGCACAGGUGGGCCCGGUCCAAAUGCAGAGCCGCUACGCGUGCGCAGAUGAGUGUGACUACGGGGAAGGGGACGAGAUGCGGCCCUUGGCCACACGUCUACUUAUCGGAUAAAUGGUACCCGCGAGCGUGGCGAAAAAUGCGGCGAAAUGUGUCCACCCCAGAGGUGGAGGAAUGCUGAGAACCGCAUGCGACCGGCAGGAGUGCCCGCAACAUACAUGGCGUUGUUUCGCCCCUUCGCCUUCACCUCUUUGUUG